RNAcentral lists this unclassified non-coding RNA (189 nucleotides) under uncultured Ascomycota. RNAcentral describes it as "sequence contains ITS2". The record is from RNAcentral. Lineage: Eukaryota; Fungi; Ascomycota.
CCUCGUCAAGCGCUGCUUGUGUUGGGGCUUCUGCGGGCUACGCAGGCCCCGAAAUCCAGUGGCCGACGCGGGCGCGCCCCCUAGCGGAGUAGGCUCCUGUACCACGCUGGGAGGUGCGCCCGCCUCGCGCCGUAAAACCCCUCCCCUUCCUCCUCCCGUGCGCCCCUCUAGGGGCCUAGGAGCGAGCCA